AAAAGGUCCCUGGCCCAGGGUUGGGGCUGUAUCCUGUCCCCCUGUCGGUUAGGUAAUGGGUCGGGUAAGGGCUGACCGAUAGCUGGAUUGAUAGGAUGAUCGGCCACACUGGACCUGACACAGGGACCGGACUCCUACGGAAGGCACCACUGGGGAAUAUUGCUCAAUGGGUUAAACCCUGAUGCAAAACCCCCCCGUGCAGGAUGACGCAUUUCGGUGUGAAAACUCCUUUUAUAAGGGAAGAUAAUGA
This 250-nucleotide ribosomal RNA is filed under the name uncultured bacterium. RNAcentral's name for it is "partial 16S ribosomal RNA". It matches the Rfam family "Bacterial small subunit ribosomal RNA", at positions 202 to 454 of the family's 1533-position model. The record is from RNAcentral.